RNAcentral lists this ribosomal RNA (236 nucleotides) under uncultured Glomus. Its description in RNAcentral is "partial 18S ribosomal RNA". The stretch from base 46 to 236 matches the Rfam family "Eukaryotic small subunit ribosomal RNA", at positions 693 to 886 of the family's 1831-position model. The record is from RNAcentral. Lineage: Eukaryota; Fungi; Glomeromycota; Glomeromycetes; Glomerales; Glomeraceae.
GGAUCGAAUUGUUGGUCGUGCCUCGGUACGCACUGGCAUUAUCGGUUCCUGCCUUCUGAAGAACCGCGAUGUCAUUAAUUUGGUGUCGUGGGGAAUCAGGACUGUUACUUUGAAAAAUUAGAGUGUUUAAAGCAGGCUUACGCUUGAAUACAUUAGCAUGGAAUAAUGAAAUAGGACGUUUGGUUCUAUUUUGUUGGUUUCUAGGACCGAAGUAAUGAUUAAUAGGGAUAGUUGGG